This 421-nucleotide ribosomal RNA is filed under the name uncultured bacterium. RNAcentral describes it as "bacterial SSU rRNA". It matches the Rfam family "Bacterial small subunit ribosomal RNA", at positions 29 to 433 of the family's 1533-position model. The record is from RNAcentral.
AACUAACGCUGGCGGCGUGCCUAACUCAUGCAAGUCGUACGAGAAAGUCGGCUUCGGUCGAUAAGUAAAGUGGCGCACGGGUGAGUAACACGUGGAUAACCUCCCCUUCAGUCGGGAAUAACCUACCGAAAGGUUUGCUAAUACCCGAUAAUAGCGGUCCAUUCCGAUGGAUCGGUCAAAGAUGGCCUCUGCUUGCAAGCUAUCGCUGAUGGAUGGGUCCGCGUACCAUUAGCUAGUUGGUAGGGUAAUGGCCUACCAAGGCUGUGAUGGUUAGCUGGUCUGAGAGGAUGACCAGCCACACUGGAACUGAGACACGGUCCAGACUCCUACGGGAGGCAGCAGUGAGGAAUAUUGCGCAAUGGGGGAAACCCUGACGCAGCGACGCCGCGUGAGUGAGGAAGGCCUUCGGGUCGUAAAGCUC